Molecule: unclassified non-coding RNA, 429 nt
Filed under: uncultured Bordetella sp.
Lineage: Bacteria; Pseudomonadati; Pseudomonadota; Betaproteobacteria; Burkholderiales; Alcaligenaceae
Description: partial 16S-23S ribosomal RNA intergenic spacer
Rfam family: Bacterial small subunit ribosomal RNA
Source: RNAcentral
AGUUUGAUCAUGGCUCAGAUUGAACGCUGGCGGGAUUGCUUUACGCAUGCAAGUCGAACGGCAGCACGGACUUCCGGUCUGGUGGCGAGUGGCGAGCGGGUGAGUAAUGUAUCGGAACGUGCCUAGUAGCGGGGAUAACUACGCGAAAGCGUAGCUAAUACCGCAUACGCCCUUCGGGGGAAAGCGGGGGACCUUCGGGCCUCGCACUAUUAGAAGCGGCCGAUAUCGGAUUAGCUAGUUGGUGGGGUAACGGCUCACCAAGGCGACGAUCCGUAGCUGGUUUGAAGGGACGACCAGCCACACUGGGACUGAGACACGGCCCAGACUCCUACAGGGAGGCAGCAGUGGGGAAUUUUGGACAAUGGGGGAAACCCUGAUCCAGCCAUCCCGCGUGUGCGAUGAAGGCCUUCGGGUUGUAAGCACUUUUGG